CCAAAGAAUGGUGCUAUUUUCAGUUACUAAUUAAUCCAUUAAGAAACUUAAAAGCAUUCCCUUCUGGGAAAAGGGGGCCUUAUAUAGUUGACAAAAGUCCUUUAUCUUCAAAGGUCCGGAGGCUGAAUCAUUGUCAAUCUCCAGGAGUGCUGUUGUACUUUUAAAGACUCCCUAAAGGCUUCCCAUGGAAGACUGCCCAAAGGGGAAUCGAGUCAUGGAGAAAAGUUGAGCUUGAUGAAUUCCAAAUUUACCAUUUCUGUCAUUAAGAGAUUAGCCCUGAAACUGUCAUCACACACGGACCACAAAGCUCAUUUGACGUGGAGUUUCCCACCAUCUGAAUGUUGGUAACUGCAUUUUCAUGGUUCAGUCCAACACAUUCCUUUGUCUUCUGCAUAACCUACAAAUUGGCAGCUGGAUCCAGAAACUUGAUUAAACUCAGAUUCAGGCUCAUCCCUCCUGGGACGAAAGUUCCUUAUGAGCUUGAGGACCACAUCUGAUUCAUCUGCAGAGAUGAUACCAACGUGUGAUGUAGUCAAUUCUUAGUUACAGUUUGUUAAAUGAAUUUUCUUGAUCUUUCAUGGGUUUUUUUUUUUGUUGCUGAGUGCUUGUCACUCAAAAAUCUUCUGUGCUAUUAUUAUCCCUUUUCACAGAUAAGGAAACUAAGGUUAAAGGGGCUGAAAGACCGAGUAACGCACAGUUCCACCGUGCGAGCUGGGCCAGAAUUCACACGGAAGGAGGGUAACUCCAGGGCGUAUGCUCUUCAUGACUUCGCUGUAUACCUGGUUGUUCAAUUAAAAAUGUGUUGAGCAUCUGCUAUGUGUCACAGACUGUUGCAGAUGCUGGAGACAGAACAGUGACCAGGCAGAGCAGGAGCCCGGACUCUCAUGGGGGUGACAUGCUAGAGAGGAGAGUCUGAGAGGAUAUGGGAAGGAGCGGGCAGGAGACAGGGAGAGAGGGAGAAAGAGGAAUAAGUGCCGCUGCCCAGCCUGCUGCUGACUCUAGAUGUAACGGUUUAAGGGAGCACUAGACUCUUUUCCAAAGCAGCUGCACCUUUUGCAUUUCAACAACCAAAGUGUGUGGGUUCCAUUUUCUCUAUAUCCUCCCCAACAUUUGUUAUUAUCUGGUGUUUUUAAUUAUAGCUAUGAUGAACCUCACUUUUAAUUUCUGAUAGAAUUUUUUCCAAAACAAAUGUCUCAAAGCAAUUAGAUUAAGAAGAAAAGAGAGUCCUAAAUUUCGGAGCCCUCCUUAAGCUCAACGCCCGCAGCAGAGCACCCCUGUGUGUCCGUGGGAACAGUGGUUGUCCAGAUGCUCAGUGUCCAGGACACUCUCCAGCUAUCUGGAGGCAAGUGUCCCAGAUGAUCUUUCAAAGAUCAGUCAGGCUACUUUUCACUGCAAGACCCUUCCCCACACAUCUUGCUCCCUGCUGUGGCCGUGAAAAGCCAGGUAAAACACUAACUCUCUUAUACAAUAAACAGAAUGCCACCCCAGAAGUAUGUGGUAUGUGGUUAUUUU
Long non-coding RNA from Manis javanica (Malayan pangolin), 1512 nucleotides. RefSeq lists it as uncharacterized. Lineage: Eukaryota; Metazoa; Chordata; Mammalia; Pholidota; Manidae. The record is from RefSeq and is a predicted model, not a curated record.